RNAcentral lists this ribosomal RNA (253 nucleotides) under uncultured bacterium. RNAcentral's name for it is "partial 16S ribosomal RNA". It matches the Rfam family "Bacterial small subunit ribosomal RNA", at positions 524 to 776 of the family's 1533-position model. The record is from RNAcentral.
UACGUAGGGGGCGAGCGUUGUCCGGAUUUACUGGGCGUAAAAGGCUCGUAGGUGGCUCGUCCAGUCGGACGUGAAAUCUCCCGGCUUAACUGGGAGGGGUCGUUCGAUACUAGCGGGCUCGAGGUCGGUAGAGGGAAGCGGAAUUCCGGGUGUAGUGGUGGAAUACGCAGAUAUCCGGAGGAACACCAGUGGCGAAGGCGGCUUCCUGGACCGACACUGACGCUGAGGCGCGAAAGCUAGGGGAGCAAACGGG